Molecule: non-coding RNA, 345 nt
Organism: Astyanax mexicanus (Mexican tetra)
Lineage: Eukaryota; Metazoa; Chordata; Actinopteri; Characiformes; Acestrorhamphidae
Source: the annotation of a RefSeq genome assembly
AUGACAGUUGCCCAUGUUGAAUGUGAUGUUGCUCUGACACAGCCAAGUUCAGAGAUGUUAAAACCAGGAGCAUCUCUGAGCAUCAGCUGUAAAGUGUCUGGUUACUUAAUUACUGAUAGCAGCUAUGUGACGGGUUGGAUUCGACAGCCUGCAGGAAAAGCUCUGGACCUGAUCUUUAAUCUUAUGUUCGAUGGUAGCACAGCUUACAGUGAUAAACUGAAAAACAAGUUCAGCAUCUCCAGAGACACUGGAACUAACACAAUAACAUUACAAGGACAGAAUCUGCAGACUGAAGAUACAGCUGUGUAUUACUGCGCAAGACGCACACAGAGUGAUACAAACUAA